CCAAUAGCGUAUAUUAAAGUUGUUGUGGUUAAAAAGCUCGUAGUUGAACCUUGGGCCUGGCUGGCCGGUCCGCCUCACCGCGUGUACUGGUCCGGCCGGGCCUUUCCCUCUGUGGAACCCCAUGCCCUUCACUGGGUGUGGCGGGGAAACAGGACUUUUACUGUGAAAAAAUUAGAGUGCUCCAGGCAGGCCUAUGCUCGAAUACAUUAGCAUGGAAUAAUAGAAUAGGACGUGUGGUUCUAUUUUGUUGGUUUCUAGGACCGCCGUAAUGAUUAAUAGGGAAAGUCGGGGGCAUCAGUAUUCAAUUGUCAGAGGUGAAAUUCUUGGAUUUAUUGAAGACUAACUACUGCGAAAGCAUUUGCCAAGGAUGUUUUCAUUAAUCAGGAACGAAAGUUAGGGGAUCGAAGACGAUCAGAUACCGUCGUAGUCUUAACCAUAAACUAUGCCGACUAGGGAUCGGACGGUGUUAUUUUUUGACCCGUUCGGCACCUUACG
This 495-nucleotide unclassified non-coding RNA is filed under the name uncultured Glomeromycotina. RNAcentral describes it as "SSU rRNA". It matches the Rfam family "Eukaryotic small subunit ribosomal RNA", at positions 591 to 1092 of the family's 1831-position model. Lineage: Eukaryota; Fungi; Glomeromycota. The record is from RNAcentral.